This 254-nucleotide ribosomal RNA is filed under the name uncultured bacterium. RNAcentral's name for it is "partial 16S ribosomal RNA". It matches the Rfam family "Bacterial small subunit ribosomal RNA", at positions 524 to 776 of the family's 1533-position model. The record is from RNAcentral.
UACGGGGGGGUGCGAGCGUUGUCCGGAAUCACUGGGCGUAAAGGGCACGUAGGUGGUUUGAUAAGGGUGUGGUGAAAGUCCGGGGCUCAACCCCGGAUCUGCCGUGCCGACUGUCAAACUCGAGGACUGUAGAGGCAGACGGAAUUCCGGGUGUAGCGGUGGAAUGCGUAGAGAUCCGGAAGAACACCGGUGGCGAAGGCGGCCUGCUGGGCAGUAGCUGACGCUGAGGCGCGACAGCGUGGGGAGCAAACAGG